CUUAUUCCCUGGGCCUGGUAGCCACAACUUCCUUUCCAAGCUCAGACUGACACUUCAGGGAAUGCAUAGCAUUGGUUGUUCUGAACGUUGGUCCCUGCCAUUAAGUAAGAGAAUUGCUUAAAAUGGCUUGACCACCACUCUGGUUGAGGAGGAGCACCCAGAAGAACAUAAAAGCUCUUUGUGUUGUUGUUGUUGUUGUUUUGGAGAAUAGCUCUCAUUCAUUAGCCAGCUUGAAGCAAGGGGCUUCAUUGGUCUUUACUGACAAUCUUGAACCUUUGCAUCCUACUGAAAAAUAGCUGUGUUUUUGGUUGGCUGAGUUUUGCCUAGGGAUUGACAGGAACAGCCCCAGGAGAGCUGGUGGGCAGAUUGCAGUGAGCCUGGGUUCUAGACCUUACCUGUUAGUCUUCCACACACCCACGCUCCUAACUGCCCUGCAGUGACUUGCAUGAGGCUGAUUUCCUCCUUUGCUUCUUUGCAUCUUGGGAUGGUUAAGUUUUAUUACCCACCGGAUUUUGACAACUUCUAGUCCUUGAACGGGGGCAGGAGGUAUACUCAGAGGAGAAGGAAGCUCCAGGAUCAGCACUGGGUUCCCUGAGGAGCCGUCUGAAGCAAGCACGGACAGGACCCACGUGUCUGUUACCGGCGAUGGUGAAGAACUCACAGCCAGAACCAGAGCCGUUGACUCACAGCCCCAUGGUGGAACUCUGAUCCUUCCACAAGAGCGCCCUGCCUGAUCCUCCGGCUCUGGGUCUUUCCGUGGAGGAAAGCGGUGGUGACCAGGGGAUGAUGGGCCCCUCCCAGGAGUUGACGACAUUCGGUGAUGUGGCUAUGUAUAUCUCCCAGGAGGCACGGAGGCAGCCAGAACCUGGGGGGAGGAAACACGUGGAAAGAAGUUGGGAGAAAUCUGCAAAUGGGGCCUCGAUGGUGCCAGCUCCUGCAGGGAGCAGGAGAAAACCCCACAGAACCCAGAUCUUCAGCGCCCCAGAGAGGCGGAGAGCGCCAGGGACUCCGCAGCAGGUGGGGGAAGAGUCCAGCCUGGCCACUUGCCCGUCCCAAGAAAAGCCAAGACCUGGGAGGAGCUGGAGUGGCAGGGCCUGGAGGAUGAGAAGGCGGCAGCGGUGCACUAGGGCUUUGAGGAAACUAAGAUUUUUGGGGGGAAUUCUCAGUGAGUUCUGGAUCCGUGAGAAAUUGCGCACCUGCCACCGAGCCGCCAGGUGUACCGGCUGGUGGCUGAUCGGCUGCGCGAGAGCAGCUUCCCGCGGACCCUGGAACAGUGUUGCGACUGCUUCAGAAACCUCCAGACCCACUACCGCAGAGCCAGGAGCAGCCGGGCGCCGGGCACCUGCCCCUUCUACCAGGAGAUGGACGCCCUGAUGGGCCCCUGGACCCUUGCCGGCACCUUUGAUGCCUUAGAGGUGGCAGGAGGCCUUCUGCGGGACAGAGGGGACUCCGAAGAGAACCAGAGGCUGUGCUGGCAGCUGUGACAGGAGAUGGUAGCGAACUGGUGGCUGAGCCCCAAGAGGAGCCCGGGAGCCUCGGCCCCCCGGCUUUCGGGGGGAGUUCCGGUGGUAAGCGCCCCACCCCCAGUGCCCCCCAGAGCAGUGGGAGAGGGCAAGUCUCGCAGGAAAGCAUUAGGGACUGUGAAGCAGGAGAGACGCUUAUUGUCUGGCCCUCUGGUGUGGCCUCGUCUGGAGGAAAAUUGUUGAGUCCUUUACGGAACACAGAUACCACUAGAAUCAGCCCUCCGCUGAAGCCGUCCCACGGGCUCACUCACAAAGACUCCUGGGAGGGUCUUGCCCUGCUCUACAGCAAAGGGCUCUCCCUGUCUGCUCUUAGUAAUGGCAUUAUAGAAACAAUAUUUAGUGACAGUUGUAGGAGGAAAGAGAGGUUGGAGUGACUUCCAGUUCCAGUUGUUCAUUUCCAGCUAAAGUACCCCAUCCGUGUGAACUCUGCGCAGAUUAUAGACAGCAGCCUGCCAACUUAAGACUUGUCUGUUCUUGCGCAAACUGGUUACACACCCUAAGCCUCCGCCUUCUCAUCUGUAAGAUGGACAUAAUGACAGUAUUUGCCUCACUGGGUGGUUUCGGGGAUCCUGGCCCGUGGCUAGCACUCAGGAAAUGCUUGUUUUCAUUAUCGUGAGCAUUGUAAUUAUUGUUAACAUAGAGGAAAACCUUGCCCUGCACUCUUCACUUAAGGGGGCAUAUUUCCUGAGUCAUUAACUACACGUUUUCUUCUGAAAACUAGACUUUCUGGGAGGUGCUUCUGUGCUCAUCUCAGCUACCACUUCCCGAAAGGAGAACAGAAAGCAGACUAUGUAGGAACUCCAUGUCCCUUCUUGCUUUUCCUUGAGCAGGACUUCUGGUUCCCCAGCCAGAUGGGGUCUCGAGGUUGGAGAGAAGUGAAGAGCUUUGGAAUGACGAUCUCUGGGACUUUUGGGAAACUUCCUGUUCAGGUGGGAAAUGAGUGAAAGCUAGUAUGGCGCCAACCGAGAAGUCAGACCCAGAAUUCUGAACGCGGACAAGGCAGCACCAGGCUGGGAGAGCACCCACUCCCUGGGCCUUCCCGGCUUAUUACUCUGAGGUGCUGAAACCACAGGCGGUGGGAGAAGAACAGUAAAGGAGGUGGCACCAGGAAAGCCUGCCUCCCUUCGUUACCUUGGCUCAUAGAUGUAAACAGAUUAUUAGUGUUUAUGAUGUCCCUCUUAAAUUUCUUUUUAAAAAAUGCCCCCUUUAUUUUUUCAAGUAUACUCUACCUGCAGUGUGGGUCUCGAACUCAUGACUAAGAUCAAGAGUUACACACUCUACUGACCGAGCCAGCCUCGUGCCCCUCCCACUUAAAUUUCUAUCUGACUUUUAACUAUAAUUAACUGUCGCUUAAGUAGGUUAAUAGAAAAAGUGAGCCUUGGCAACUCCAAAUUAAACAAUACUCAACCUUAGAUUAUUGGAGGGGUGAAUUUCUCAUGGUUAAGAUGAGCUUCCCUCCUUGGUGACGCUCGGUCAUUCUGCUGGAAUUUUAGGGGAUCCAAUAAACAGUACUGUUCUUCCCCCAGAUUCUAGACCAACCAAGAACCGUAAGAGUAAGACAUUGAGAUCAAAAUGGCAGCUUUCUAACUGCGAGAGCCAUUGGACAAUGUGGCUUGAUGUGUAGCCACAGUGGGCUUCCUCACGCUGAACCCCACAUUGAGACGCAGGGCAGCCCCAGACGACCACAGCCUUGCCCUGCCGGCACAGAACUGUCACUGCUGGUCUUCUGAGCCACGUGUGCCCAGCUCCUUGUUAGUCGAAGUCCUCCCUCCUGCUUGAGGAGCGAGGGGAUGGAGAGAGGCCAGAAGUGUUCUCAGGCUUGUCCCUCUACCUGGAAGGCAGUAUCAAGAAGAAAAAGGUAGCUUUUUAGUACUGAUUGCCAGCCCACAGGUGGGUGGGAGGAGAGGAGCCAAGCUCGGGGGCAGAGCCUCUGAGGAGUGGGGAGAGGAAGAAAUGGGUCUGGACCUUGCCCACUGGACCUUCCCUUUCUUCAGCCUUCUUCCACACGACCUUCUUGUUUAGAAGCUGGGGGAGGGAAGGAGAUCUGCAAGUCUGCUGUCUUAACCAGGGUUCAGCCAUAGUCCAAUUCUUGGUUCCUGGUUAAUGGAAAGCUGACUGUGUUCUAUCUGUCGUCAUCAAGAAAUUGUUUCUCAGCGUCCAGGAGGGGACUCUUUCACGUUGUUUGCGUUCUUCUGAGCUCAGAAAGCAGGUCACAUUUGCAGUUUCAUCUCAUUCUUUCAGAUCUUGAAACAAGGACACAGGACA
Long non-coding RNA from Zalophus californianus (California sea lion), 3788 nucleotides. The record is from Ensembl. Lineage: Eukaryota; Metazoa; Chordata; Mammalia; Carnivora; Otariidae.